GUGUAGGCUAACCGAGUAGGGUCUGUCUGCGGCAUGGGCGUGUCAAUCAUUAAACAAGAACUGGUACUGCAGCAUCGACCAAUCACGAAGAGCUUCAAGUGACGCUGGCCCUGUAGGACAAGCUGGCGGACCCCUCCCACCCUCUCAAGCAAGCAGUGAAAGCCCUGCAGGACAAGCUGGCGUACCCCUCCCAUCGUCUCCAUCGGCCCAGUUCAGCACCACCUUCCAGACAGCAAGCAGUAAAAGGUAUUACAUACUGUCUCUGUACUUUGCCAUUUUCUAACAUGGCUACAAAUGAAACAAAAACAAACUUGGCCAUUUAUUUGUAUUUGGUGCUAAUGAAUAUGGUAUCUAAUCUCCCUCCCCUUCUCUUCUUUCUCUCUCU
This is a long non-coding RNA of Alosa sapidissima (American shad), 385 nucleotides long. RefSeq lists it as uncharacterized. The record is from RefSeq and is a predicted model, not a curated record. The transcript has 3 exons. Lineage: Eukaryota; Metazoa; Chordata; Actinopteri; Clupeiformes; Clupeidae.